UCCCUGGUGGCUCAGACGGUAAAGCAUCUGUCCGCAAUGCAGGAGACCCGGGUUCGAUCCCUGGGUUGGGAA
Ovis aries (sheep) is the source of this 72-nucleotide transfer RNA. It matches the Rfam family "tRNA". From Rfam's summary of the family: Transfer RNA (tRNA) molecules are approximately 80 nucleotides in length. Their secondary structure includes four short double-helical elements and three loops (D, anti-codon, and T loops). NCBI's taxonomy places the organism in Eukaryota, Metazoa, Chordata, Mammalia, Artiodactyla, Bovidae. The record is from Rfam.